Molecule: non-coding RNA, 252 nt
Filed under: Lactonifactor longoviformis
Lineage: Bacteria; Bacillati; Bacillota; Clostridia; Eubacteriales; Clostridiaceae
Description: T-box sequence
Rfam family: T-box leader
About the family: Uncharged tRNA acts as the effector for transcription antitermination of genes in the T-box leader family. T-boxes are found upstream of many aminoacyl-tRNA synthetase genes and some amino acid biosynthetic genes usually in Gram-positive bacteria.
Source: RNAcentral
CAAAAGGCGUUGAGAAGAGAUAGUAAGUAUCCUGAAUACUUCAGAGAGAAGCCGGACGGUGCAAGGCUUUGUGGAGGGGUGCUGAACCGGUCUUUGAGCCGCAGGCCGAAAAGAGAUGAGUAGGCCCCGCCGGAGUUCCACCGUUACAGGGAAAGAGUAUCAGACACAGGAUGUGUUACGUACUCGCAGAGAGCAGAAUGUAAGUUCUGAAGUUAGGUGGUACCACGGAUAAUGUAUUUAUUCGCCCUAAAC